Molecule: ribosomal RNA, 497 nt
Filed under: uncultured bacterium
Lineage: Bacteria
Description: partial 16S ribosomal RNA
Rfam family: Bacterial small subunit ribosomal RNA
Source: RNAcentral
GAUGAACGCUGGCGGCGUGCCUAAUACAUGCAAGUCGAGCGAACGGACGAGAAGCUUGCUUCUCUGAUGUUAGCGGCGGACGGGUGAGUAACACGUGGAUAACCUACCUAUAAGACUGGGAUAACUUCGGGAAACCGGAGCUAAUACCGGAUGAUAUUUUGAACCGCAUGGUUCAAAAGUGAAAGACGGUCUUGCUGUCACUUAUAGCUGGAUCCGCGCUGCAUUAGCUAGUUGGUAAGGUAACGGCUUACCAAGGCAACGACGCAUAGCCGACCUGAGGGGGUGAUCGGCCACACUGGAACUGAGACACGGUCCAGACUCCUACGGGAGGCAGCAGUAGGGAAUCUUCCGCAAUGGGCGAAAGCCUGACGGAGCAACGCCGCGUGAGUGAUGAAGGUCUUCGGAUCGUAAAACUCUGUUAUUAGGGAAGAACAUAUGUGUAAGUAACUGUGCACAUCUUGACGGUACCUAAUCAGAAAGCCACGGCUAACUACGUG